GGCCGCGGGAAUUGGAUUCAGGCCUAACACAUGCAAGUCGAGCGGUAGAGAGAAGCUUGCUUCUCUUGAGAACGGCGGACGGGUGAGUAAUGCCUAGGAAUCUGCCUGGUAGUGGGGAAUAACGUUCGGAAACGGACGCUAAUACCGCAUACGUCCUACGGGAGAAAGCAGGGGACCUUCGGGCCUUGCGCUAUCAGAUGAGCCUAGGUCGGAUUAGCUAGUUGGUGAGGUAAUGGCUCACCAAGGCGACGAUCCGUAACUGGUCUGAGAGGAUGAUCAGUCACACUGGAACUGAGACACGGUCCAGACUCCUACGGGAGGCAGCAGUGGGGAAUAUUGGACAAUGGGCGAAAGCCUGAUCCAUAAAGGCCGCGUGUGUGAAGAAGGUCUUCGGAUGUCAAUUUAUGGGAGUUGGGAGGAAGGGCAGUUACCUAAUACGUGAUGUUUGA
RNAcentral lists this ribosomal RNA (449 nucleotides) under uncultured bacterium. Its description in RNAcentral is "bacterial SSU rRNA". It matches the Rfam family "Bacterial small subunit ribosomal RNA", at positions 37 to 472 of the family's 1533-position model. The record is from RNAcentral.